Molecule: long non-coding RNA, 278 nt
Filed under: Gorilla gorilla gorilla (western lowland gorilla)
Lineage: Eukaryota; Metazoa; Chordata; Mammalia; Primates; Hominidae
Description: lncRNA (ENSGGOG00000044464.1)
Source: RNAcentral
UUUCAGUAGAGCCUUUUAAGACACAUGUUUUGGAAUACAGUCAAAUGCGUGCUGCUGUAUGACCAGCCUAUCUGAACUACUUAAGCAUCAACUAAUUAAUCUGCAAGUGAAGAAUACUUCCAGCAUUACUCUAUAAUUAGACAAUCUCAGGAGGAAACAAGAGGAUUUCAAAGGGGAGUCAGAUGGUUUUGCAGACCGCUACAUCAUUUAUUUUUUCAUCACUCAGAUUAUGCCUCCAAAUCCUACAGAAGUAUAACAACCAUAGAACAGACAAACAC